RNAcentral lists this transfer RNA (35 nucleotides) under Blastophaga sp. CLV-2004. RNAcentral's name for it is "partial tRNA-Leu". Lineage: Eukaryota; Metazoa; Arthropoda; Insecta; Hymenoptera; Agaonidae. The record is from RNAcentral.
UGUAAUUUUUUAAUAUGGCAGAUUAGUGCCAUGGG